GCCCCUGUGGCGCAAUGGAUAGCGCGUACGACUUGUGAGUUCCCAAAGAAAGCCCCGCUUAUGGUCCAUAAUACUAAUCCCUAUUCACAGCUAAUCGUAAGGUUGCAAGUUCGACCCUUGCCUGGGGCU
This 129-nucleotide transfer RNA is filed under the name Penicillium nalgiovense. It matches the Rfam family "tRNA". Rfam says of the family: Transfer RNA (tRNA) molecules are approximately 80 nucleotides in length. Their secondary structure includes four short double-helical elements and three loops (D, anti-codon, and T loops). Further hydrogen bonds mediate the characteristic L-shaped molecular structure. tRNAs have two regions of fundamental functional importance: the anti-codon, which is responsible for specific mRNA codon recognition, and the 3' end, to which the tRNAs corresponding amino acid is attached (by aminoacyl-tRNA synthetases). tRNAs cope with the degeneracy of the genetic code in two manners: having more than one tRNA (with a specific anti-codon) for a particular amino acid; and 'wobble' base-pairing, i.e. permitting non-standard base-pairing at the 3rd anti-codon position. The record is from Rfam by way of RNAcentral. Lineage: Eukaryota; Fungi; Ascomycota; Eurotiomycetes; Eurotiales; Aspergillaceae.